Molecule: ribosomal RNA, 1076 nt
Filed under: uncultured eukaryote
Lineage: Eukaryota
Description: SSU rRNA
Rfam family: Eukaryotic small subunit ribosomal RNA
Source: RNAcentral
CGGUAAUCUCUUGCUCCAAUAGCGUAUAUUAAAGUUGUUGCGGUUAAAAAGCUCGUAGUUGGAUUUCUGUUGAAGGCGGGCCGUCCGCACUAUGUGCGUGUAUGUGUUACGACUUCGGCAUCCUCUUGAAGAACGUAAUGUGAUUAAUUUCGUGUUGCGGAAUUCAAGACUUUUACUUUGAGGAAAUUAGAGUGUUCACGGCAAGCAAACGCUUUGAAUACAUUAGCAUGGAAUAAUAAUAUAGAACCUUGGUACUAUUUUGUUGGUUUCUAGAACUAAGGUAAUGAUAAAUAGGGACAGUUGGGGGCAUUCGUAUUAAGACGUCAGAGGUGGAAUUCUUGGAUUGUCUUACGACGAACUACUGCGAAAGCAUUUGCCAAGGAUGUUUUCAUUGAUCAAGAACGAAAGUAUGGGGAUCGAAGACGAUUAGAUACCGUCGUAGUCUAUACCAUAAACUAUGUCAACUAGAGAUUGGUAGUCGUAUUUUAUAUGACUCUAUCAGCACCUUAUGAGAAAUCAAAGUUUUUGGGUUCCGGGGGGAGUAUGGUCGCAAGGCUGAAACUUAAAGGAAUUGACGGAAGGGCACCACCAGGAAGUGGAGCCUGCGAACUUAAUUUGACUCAACACGGGAAAAUCUCACCAGGUCCAGACAUAGUAAGGAUUGACAGAUUGAUAGCUCUUUCUUGAUUCUAUGGGUGGUGGUGCAUGACCGUUCUUAGUUGGUGGAGUGAUUUGUCUGCUUUAUUGCGUUAACGAACGAGACCUUAGCCUGCUAAAUAGUAUCUAGUAUCUUCGGAUAUUAGACUUACUUCCUAGAGGGACUUUGUGUAUCAAGCACAAGGAAGCUUGAGGCAAUAACAGGUCUGUGAUGCCCUUAGAUGUUCUGGGCUGCACGCGCGCUACACUGAUGCGUUCAAUAAGUAUAGAACCUUGUCCGACAGGAUUGGGUAAUCUUUUGAAAACGCAUCGUGAUGGGGAUAGAUUAUUGUAAUUAUUAGUCUUCAACGAGGAAUUCCUAGUAAGGGUGAGUCAUCAGCUCAUCCUGACUACGUCCCUGCCCCUUGUACACACCGCCC